GUGCCAGCAGCCGCGGUAAUACGGAGGAUCCAAGCGUUAUCCGGAAUCAUUGGGUUUAAAGGGUCCGUAGGCGGUCUGGUAAGUCAGUGGUGAAAGCCCAUCGCUCAACGGUGGAACGGCCAUUGAUACUGCUGGACUUGAAUUAUUAGGAAGUAACUAGAAUAUGUAGUGUAGCGGUGAAAUGCUUAAAGAUUACAUGGAAUACCAAUUGCGAAGGCAGGUUACUACUAAUGGAUUGACGCUGAUGGACGAAAGCGUGGGUAGCGAACAGGAUUAGAUACCCUGGUACUCCACGCCGUAAACGAUGGAUACUAGCUGUUGGAAGCAAUUUCAGUGGCUAAGCGAAAGUGAUAAGUAUCCCACCUGGGGAGUACGUUCGCAAGAAUGAAACUCAAAGGAAUUGACGGGGGCCCGCACAAGCGGUGGAGCAUGUGGUUUAAUUCGAUGAUACGCGAGGAACCUUACCAAGGCUUAAAUGCAGACUGACCGAUUUGGAAACAUAUCUUUCGCAAGACAGUUUACAAGGUGCUGCAUGGUUGUCGUCAGCUCGUGCCGUGAGGUGUCAGGUUAAGUCCUAUAACGAGCGCAACCCCCUGUUGUUAGUUGCCAGCGAGUAGUGUCGGGAACUCUAACAAGACUGCCAGUGCAAACUGUGAAGAAGGGGGGGGGAAUGACGUCAAAUCAUCACGGCCCUUUACGCCUUGGCUACACACGUGCUACAAUGGCCGAGUACAGAGAGCAGCCAUCUCGUGGAGGGGAGGAGCGUAUUCUAUAAAACCGGUCACAGUUCCGGAUCGGAGUCUGCACUCGACUCCGGUGAAGCUAGGAAUCGCUAGUAAUCAGAUAUCAGCGAUGAUGCGGAAUGAAUACGUUCCCCGAGUCUUUGCUACCACACCGCCGUCGAAAGGACUAUUUCCGAUUAAGCUAGCAGGAACUAGUUCCGUUAAGGUGAGAGGGAUUUAACUUCUGGAAGCCUUGGGC
RNAcentral lists this ribosomal RNA (981 nucleotides) under uncultured bacterium. Its description in RNAcentral is "bacterial SSU rRNA". It matches the Rfam family "Bacterial small subunit ribosomal RNA", at positions 505 to 1533 of the family's 1533-position model. The record is from RNAcentral.